Molecule: ribosomal RNA, 460 nt
Filed under: uncultured bacterium
Lineage: Bacteria
Description: partial 16S ribosomal RNA
Rfam family: Bacterial small subunit ribosomal RNA
Source: RNAcentral
CCUACGGGAGGCAGCAGUGAGGAAUAUUGGUCACUGGACGAGAGUCUGAACCAGCCAAGUAGCGUGAAGGAUGACUGCCCUAUGGGUUGUAAACUUCUUUUAUAUGGGAAUAAAACGUUCCACGUGUGGGAUUUUGUAUGUACCAUAUGAAUAAGGAUCGGCUAACUCCGUGCCAGCAGCCGCGGUAAUACGGAGGAUCCGAGCGUUAUCCGGAUUUAUUGGGUUUAAAGGGAGCGUAGGUGGAUUGUUAAGUCAGUUGUGAAAGUUUGCGGCUCAACCGUAAAAUUGCAGUUGAAACUGGCAGUCUUGAGUACAGUAGAGGUGGGCGGAAUUCGUGGUGUAGCGGUGAAAUGCUUAGAUAUCACGAAGAACUCCGAUUGCGAAGGCAGUUCACUGGACUGCAACUGACACUGAGGCUCGAAAGUGUGGGUAUCAAACAGGAUUAGAUACCCCUGUAGUC